GACGAACGCUGGCGGCGUGCCUAAUACAUGCAAGUAGAACGCACAGUUUAUACCGUAGCUGGAUACACGAUAAACUGUGAGUUGCGAACGGGUGAGUAACGCGUAGGUAACCUGCCUGGUAGCGGGGGAUAACGAUUGGAAACGAGAGCUAAUACCGCAUAAUAGUGAUUAUUGGAUGAUAAUUGAUUGAAAGAUGGUAUUGCAUCACUACCAGAUGGACCUGCGUUGUAUUAGCUAGUAGGGGAGGUAACGGCUCACCUAGGGGGGGAUACAUAGCCGACCUGGGCGGCUGGUCGGCCACCCUGGGACGGAGGCACGGCCCAGACUCCUACGGGAGGCAGCAGUAGGGAAUCUUCGGCAAUGGACGAGAGUCUGACCGAACAACGCCGCGUCGGUGACGACGGUUUUCGGUUCGUAAAGCUCUGUUGUAAGAGAAGAACGGGUGUGAGAGUGGAAAGUUCACACUGUGACGGUACCUUACCAGAAAGCGCCGGCUAACUACGUG
RNAcentral lists this ribosomal RNA (505 nucleotides) under uncultured bacterium. RNAcentral's name for it is "partial 16S ribosomal RNA". It matches the Rfam family "Bacterial small subunit ribosomal RNA", at positions 28 to 507 of the family's 1533-position model. The record is from RNAcentral.